CCUACGGGAGGCAGCAGUGGGGAAUCUUGCGCAAUGGGCGAAAGCCUGACGCAGCAACGCCGCGUGGGGGAUGAAGGCUCUCGGGUUGUAAACCCCUUUCAGCAGGGACGAUUGUGACGGUACCUGCAGAAGAAGGCCCGGCCAACUACGUGCCAGCAGCCGCGGUAAU
Molecule: ribosomal RNA, 169 nt
Filed under: uncultured bacterium
Lineage: Bacteria
Description: partial 16S ribosomal RNA
Rfam family: Bacterial small subunit ribosomal RNA
Source: RNAcentral